This is a long non-coding RNA of Homo sapiens (human), 2986 nucleotides long. Ensembl annotates it as AFG3 like matrix AAA peptidase subunit 1, pseudogene. Its record names the gene AFG3L1P. Lineage: Eukaryota; Metazoa; Chordata; Mammalia; Primates; Hominidae. The record is from Ensembl.
AUGCGCGCGCCCGGGCGGCGCGGGAUCUGGGUCUGGGGAUGUGGUACCGGCUGCUGGCGGCGGCCGGCAGUAGAGCGGUGGCCAGGCCGCUGGCCUUGCUGUGGCGAUGUGGUGGCCCAGGAGGCGGCAGGACGGCCAAGACCAGCGCGAGGGCCCUGGGCAAGGCCCGACAGUGGUUAUGGCCAGUGAGAAUGUGCGGUGUUGCAUUGCAGAAGAAGCUAGGAAAGCUCAUCUGGCCUCCUGUUCCAGUGCUUCCAGGGGAUCCACGUUCAGAAGCUGACUCUGCAGGCAAGACCGACGUUAUUUUCCUGGUGGCUGUGUUCAAAACCACCCAAAGAGACUGGUGAACUAGAGAAUGCUGAGUCUGGAGGAGACGGAGGCAGGAGAGGAGGGAAGCAGGAUAACGUUGCCUGGUGGAGGCGGAUGCAGAAGGGGGGACUUCCCCUGGGAUGACGAGGAUUUCCGCAGUCUGGCCCUUUUGGGGGCAGGCGUUGCCAUGGGAUUUUUCUACCUCUAUUUUCGAGAUCCUGGAAGAGAAAUCACGUGGAAGCACUUUGUACAGUAUUACCUGGCCAGAGGUCUGGUGGACCGGCUGGAAGUCGUGAACAAACAAUCUGUGCGUGUUAUUCCUGCCCCUGGGACCUCUUCUGAAACGUAGCUGGGUGCGAAGAAUCAAAUUGGAAAUUAUGGAAUUUGUGAAUUUCCUGAAGAAUCCCAAGCAGUAUCAGGACUUAGGAGCAAAAAUUCCAAAGGGAGCCAUGCUCACUGGUCCUCCUGGUACCGGCAAGACCCUUCUUGCCAAAGCAACUGCAGGGGAGGCCACUGUGCCCUUCAUCACUGUGAACGGGUCUGAGUUCCUGGAAAUGUUUAUUGGCGUUGGGCCAGCAAGGGGUUCAACUCUGCCACCAACGUCGUGGUGUUGGCUGGCACCAACCGCCCUGACGUCCUGGACCCGGCCCUCAUGCGGCCUGGCCGGUUUCAUCGCCAGAUUUACACUGGUCCCCCUUACAUUAAAGGCAGGUCCUCCAUCUUUAAGGUCCACCUGCGCCCACUGAAGCUGGACAAGAGCCUCAAUAAGGACACCCUGGCGAGGAAGCUGGCAGUGCUCACCCCAGGCUUCCCUGACGGGGAUGACUCAGCACUACCCCUCAACAGAGAUGACUUUGAUGACUCUGCCCCUCAGCAGGGCUUACUAAGCACUACCCCUUAACAGGGAUGACUCCGCACUGCCCCUCAACAGGGAUGACUCAGCAGAGAUGACUCAGCACUGUCCCUUAGCAGGGAUGACACAGCAAGGAUGACUCAGCACUGCCCCUCAGCAAGGAUGACUCAGCACUGCCGCUCAACAGACAUGACUCAGGGAUGGCUUAGUACUGCCCCUCAGCAGGGAUGACUCAGCACCGCCUCUCAACAGGGAUGACUCAGCAGGGAUGACUCAGCACCGCCCCUCAACAGGCAUGACUCUGCAGAGAUGACUCAGCACUGUCCCUUAGCAGGGAUGACACAGCAAGGAUGACUCAGCACUGCCCCUCAGCAAGGAUGACUCAGCACUGCCGCUCAACAGGGAUGACUCAGGGAUGGCUUAGUACUGCCCCUCAACAGGGAUGACUCAGCAGGGAUGACUCAGCACCGCCCCUCAACAGGCAUGACUCUGCAGAGAUGACUUAGUACUGCCCCUCAGCAGGGAUGACUCAGUACUGCCCCUCAGCAGGGAUGACUCAGCACUGCCCCUCAACAGGGAUGACUCAGCAGGGAUGACUCAGCACUGUCCCUUAGCAGUGAUGACACAGCAAGGAUGACUCAGCACUGCCCCUCAGCAAGGAUGACUCAGCACUGCCGCUCAACAGACAUGACUCAGGGAUGGCUUAGUACUGCCCCUCAGCAGGGAUGACUCAGCACCGCCCCUCAACAGGGAUGACUCAGCACUGCCCCUCAACAGGGAUGACUCAGCAGGGAUGACUCAGCAGUGUCCCUUAGCAGCGAUGACACAGCAAGGAUGACUCAGCACUGCCCCUCACCAAGGAUGACUCAGCACUGCCGCUCAACAGACAUGACUCAGGGAUGGCUUAGUACUGCCCCUCAGCAGGGAUGACUCAGCAGGGAUGACUCAGCACCACCCCUCAACAGGGAUGACUCAGCAGGGAUGACUCAGCACUGCCCCUCAACAGGGAUGACUGCAGGGAUGACUCAGCACUGCCCCUCAGCAGGGAUGACUCAGCACUGCCCCUCAGCAGGGAUGACUCAGCAGGGAUGACUCAGCACCGCCCCUCAACAGGCAUGACUCUGCAGAGAUGACUCAGCACUGCCCCUCAGCAGGGAUGGCUCAGCAGGGAUGACUCAGCAUUGCCCCUCAACAGGGAUGACUCAGCAGACUCAGCAGGGAUGACUCAGCACUGCCCCUCAACAGACAUGACUCAGCAGGGAUGACUCAGCACCGCCCCUCAGCAAGGAUGACUCAGCAGGGAUGAUUCAGCAGAGAUAACUCGGGGAUGACUCUGAUUGUCCUUCAGCAGGGAUGAGUCUGUUUUGCUCCGAUGGAAGCAUCUGUAGUGUCCAUCAGCAGGUGAAUGGCCAAAGUGGUAUAUACUGUAGUCACAUUCAGCUAUAAAAAGGAAUAAAGUAUCGAUGCAUGCCACAACAUGGGUGAACCUAGAAAAUACUGAUCUAAAUGCAAGAAGCCAGGCACAAAAGGCCACAUAGUAUAUGUUCCCAUUUAUGUGAAAUGUGCAGAAUAAUAAUAAAAAUGUAUAGAAUAGCAAAUCUGUAGGGACAGACAUGAGGUGAGUGGUUGCCAGAAGUGGAAAUGGGAGUUAACUAUAAAUUGCACAGGGUACCUUACAGAGAUGAUGGAAAUGUCCUAAAACUAGAUUAUGGCAAUAGUUGCACUACGUGAUCAGUUUAUUAAAAAUCGUUGAUGUGUGUGUGUAAAAUGGGUGGAUUUUAUGGUUUAUAAAUUAUACCUUAAUAAAGGUUAACAAAAAAUGUG